Molecule: long non-coding RNA, 779 nt
Filed under: Mus musculus (house mouse)
Lineage: Eukaryota; Metazoa; Chordata; Mammalia; Rodentia; Muridae
Description: RIKEN cDNA 2410006H16 gene
Rfam family: Small nucleolar RNA SNORD49 (bases 364-435)
Source: RNAcentral
UCUCUGCGGCCAUCAUGGGAUCGUGCUCUUCUCGCUCGUUGAGCUGGUCCCUUCGCCGUGGCCUGCUGGUGACGGUCUGGAGCGAUGCUGAGCCCGGGCCCAGCCUCUCAGCUCCGCCUUGUGCGCUGCACAGAUCUAGGGGAGCCUGACGGGACGUUGACAACGUGGAAUAGGAGCAGUAUCAUCCCACCAUGAGGUAAGGGUUUCUGGAGUAUCAGGUGGGGUUCAUAGACAAGAGGCUGUGUAGCUUUCGCUCCAGGGACUCCCAACAUACCCUGGCCCAUGUGGGCACAUACAUAAAUUUAAGACGUGUCUCCAUUUAGUGGCUGGAACUACUAGUUGGAGGACAGCAGAAAGCUUGACUGCUGUGAUGAGAUGACUAAGUAGGAAGUGCCGUCAGAGUCGAUAACUGACGAUAACUGCUCCUGGCUGACUGCAGUCAAGCCCACACCGGUGGCUGGGGUUUAGGUUUAACUUGGGCUGGACUUUUAACAACUGCUGUACUUCUAGGUUGGGGAUUUAAGAGUGGAAGAUUGCCAACAGCUGUGGCCUCCCAUGAGGGUGUCCCCUUUCAAGUUCUCAGAACGGACGCAGGACUGCAGAUCUGUGCUGGCAGCAGCAGAGGCUAUAUUCCCAGAGGAGUCUCCAGCCGGCCUGAAAGCAAAUAUCCUAAGUGACAUGUCUGCCAAUUUUGUUCUGGGUGGGCACAUUUGGUAAUCCUGUCUGUACCACAGGAUCUUCUAUGCCUUUUAAAAAUAAACAUUUGUUUAUAAACCAGA